UGAGGAAUAUUGCACAAUGGGCGCAAGCCUGAUGCAGCAACGCCGCGUGAGGGAGGAAGGCCCUCGGGUCGUAAACCUCUUUUCUGGGGGAAGAGCAAGGACGGUACCCCAGGAAUCAGUCUCGGCUAACUACGUGCCAGCAGCCGCGGUAAAACGUAGGAGGCGAGCGUUAUCCGGAUUUACUGGGCGUAAAGCGCACGCAGGCGGUCCCGCCAGUCGGACGUGAAAGCUCCUGGCUCAACUAGGAGAGGUCGUUCGAUACUGUGGGGCUUGAGGUUGGGAGAGGGGUGUGGAAUUCCCGGUGUAGUGGUGGAAUGCGUAGAUAUCGGGAGGAACACCUGUGGCGAAAGCGGCACCCUGGCCCACACCUGACGCUGAGGUGCGAAAGCGUGGGGAGCAAACAGG
RNAcentral lists this ribosomal RNA (405 nucleotides) under uncultured prokaryote. RNAcentral's name for it is "bacterial SSU rRNA". It matches the Rfam family "Bacterial small subunit ribosomal RNA", at positions 355 to 776 of the family's 1533-position model. RNAcentral also lists the same sequence under 1 other name. The record is from RNAcentral.